CAGGACGACGCUGGCGGCGCGCCUAACACAUGCAAGUCGAACGAGCGAGAGAGAGUUUACUUUUUCGAGCGAGUGGCGAACGGGUGAGUAACGCGUGAGGAACCUGCCUCAAAGAGGGGGACAACAGUUGGAAACGACUGCUAAUACCGCAUAAGCCCACGGCUCGGCAUCGAGCAGAGGGAAAAGGAGUGAUCCGCUUUGAGAUGGCCUCGCGUCCGAUUAGCUAGUUGGUGAGGUAACGGCCCACCAAGGCAACGAUCGGUAGCCGGACUGAGAGGUUGAACGGCCACAUUGGGACUGAGACACGGCCCAGACUCCUACGGGAGGCAGCAGUGGGGAAUAUUGCACAAUGGGGGAAACCCUGAUGCAGCGACGCCGCGUGGAGGAAGAAGGUCUUCGGAUUGUAAACUCCUGUUGUUGAGGAAGAUAAUGACGGUACUCAACAAGGAAGUGACGGCUAACUACGUG
This 468-nucleotide ribosomal RNA is filed under the name uncultured bacterium. RNAcentral describes it as "bacterial SSU rRNA". It matches the Rfam family "Bacterial small subunit ribosomal RNA", at positions 33 to 507 of the family's 1533-position model. The record is from RNAcentral.